AUAUAAGCAGGUGUCAGUAAAACACUCUUCAGUUUCGAAGUUCGUCGCAUAAAUUAUUCAAUUUUUCCAAUGAAGUCUUGAUUCUCGUGCUUAAUAUUUUAUCCUUGGGUACAUAAGGAAUGGGAAUUAUUUUUACGUAUUACAGAUAACUACAAGGCGAAAGUGACCUUCAGAAACUGUCAAAGAUGGCACCUCAGUUAUUGCAUUCAAUUAGCAAACGCUGAUAGUUGAUGAAUUGAAGGAGAAUUAUGAAAACUGAAGUGUCGAAUCCAGCAUAUGAAACCCAGAUUCGCCUGAAAAGCAAAGAACGUUUUUACAAGCCUGAUAAGGCGUCGGCUCACUUGUAAAAGGAUUCAACAUCUAAAAGAAAAGCUUUCCGGUCCACAGAAAGUUUUCAACAUAAAAAGAAACCAGUUUUUCAAUCUAGUAUUAGUCGAAACGUUACAAGAUUUUUGGACUUCAUGGCAUAAAAGAACAAGGCUACAGAUAAGCUUUGCAAAUGGGCAGUUCAAAUAUCAGUGAAUGCAAAUGGAUGAUGAAAGGACAAUCGAUGUCUCCGUGAUGCAAUGAAUGCUGCUUCUAUAACUAAGCUAAAGCGCAAAAAAAUUUCUUCAUUCCACUCGCAUUUGACUACAAGUAAGAUCGCAUGAUUUUGGAAUCUUGGUAGGUCACACCUAAUUUUACG
Molecule: long non-coding RNA, 685 nt
Organism: Argiope bruennichi
Lineage: Eukaryota; Metazoa; Arthropoda; Arachnida; Araneae; Araneidae
Exons: 3
Source: RefSeq, a predicted model, not a curated record